This 406-nucleotide ribosomal RNA is filed under the name uncultured bacterium. Its description in RNAcentral is "partial 16S ribosomal RNA". It matches the Rfam family "Bacterial small subunit ribosomal RNA", at positions 30 to 526 of the family's 1533-position model. The record is from RNAcentral.
AUUGAACGCUGGCGGCAGGCCUAACACAUGCAAGUCGAACGAGUGGCGGACGGUUGAGUACUUUCUGGGAAACUGCCUGAUGGAGGGGGAUAACUACUGGAAACGGUAGCUAAUACCGCAUACCAUCAGAUGUGCCCAGAUGGUAUUAGCUAGUAGGUGGGGUAACGGCUCACCUAGGCGACGAUCCCUAGCUGGUCUGAGAGGAUGACCAGCCAAACUGGAACUGAGACACGGUCCAGAAUACUACGAGAGGCAGCAGUGGAGAAAAUUGCACAGUGGGCGCAAGCCUGAUGAAGCCAGGCCGCGUGUAUGAAGAAGGCCUUCGGGUUGUAAAGUACGUUAAGCGGAGAGGCGUUACCAGCAGAAGAAGCAACGGCUAACUCCGUGCCAGCAGCCGCGGGAAUAC